RNAcentral lists this long non-coding RNA (988 nucleotides) under Cricetulus griseus (Chinese hamster). RNAcentral describes it as "lncRNA (ENSCGRG00015031265.1)". The record is from RNAcentral. Lineage: Eukaryota; Metazoa; Chordata; Mammalia; Rodentia; Cricetidae.
CUGGCAGCUGUUUCUAGGGUAUUGAUCUCCUGGCCCAGCUGUAGAGAAACAGGGGUUUUCAGGCCUUACUGUCCCAGCCCCUGCUGCCAACUGUGGUUAGUUCCCCAUCCUGCCCCUUCAGGACGACAUUUUAAAGAAUCCACCAGCUCCUUGGCCUCCUCACUAUGGCUGCCAGUCAUUGGCGACCCCCAAUCAUUCUUGACAGUGAAUUGCCUGGAUACUACAGGGAUGAGAAGGAGAGACUCUGGAAGGUUGUAAGCCUGGAAUAUAGUCUACACCACCCCCCUGAUAAUGGGCAUGGAGUCCUUGUCAAAGUCACAUUGUGGCAGGUGGGAGAAUACAACUUGGAGACCCCUUACAUUAUCAUGCCAACUUUGACAUGGAUCCCCAGUACGUGGAGGAAAGAGUGUGAGUUGACAUACACAGGGAUAGACUACACCUUCUGGGCAAUAUCGGAACAUUCCCAGACUGACGGCAGAGAAUACCUGGUCCUAGCAAUAUGGAAACCCAUUGGUGUCCAGUCUAGAAGUGUCUCCUGGAAAGCUCAGCCCUGAACUUCAGAUGAUCUGCUACUGUGAGCCUGGCUGUCUGUGUCCUGAGCCUUCUCCCUUCCUGGGUACAGCUUCCCCUUUCUUGUCUCCAUUUUCCUCUGAUGCUGACUUCACAGAUCAUCCUUAGAAGACACCUAUUCCCUUUGAACCCCUCUCCUGGGCUCUCAGUGCAGCAUGUCCCUCAGGCGACUCUGAUCUGGAGGUUCCUGUGUAGCAGGUAUGGAUGGGGUCUCCAUGCCCUGUGGAUCUCUGAUCUACCAAUGCUGGCUAGAAGUUGACCUGGAGCUGGGCAGAGGACUCUGUGCUCAGUGGCUUGAAGACACCAUGGGAUGUGUGCAGGAGCAUCUGGUGUACUUCUCCCACAUGCUCAGUACUUGGCUCCUAGAAGUGAUGCUGACCCUAAUCCCCACCCCAAACUUGUUUUUAACUAAUUAAAC